Molecule: ribosomal RNA, 253 nt
Filed under: uncultured bacterium
Lineage: Bacteria
Description: partial 16S ribosomal RNA
Rfam family: Bacterial small subunit ribosomal RNA
Source: RNAcentral
UACGGAGGGUGCAAGCGUUAAUCGGAAUUACUGGGCGUACAGGGUGCGUAGGUGGUCUGAUAAGUUAUGUGUGAAAUUCCUGGGCUCAACCUGGGGUGGUCAGAUAAGACUGUUAGACUCGAGUAUGGGAGAGGGUAGUGGAAUUUCCGGUGUAGCGGUGAAAUGCGUAGAGAUCGGAAGGAACACCAGUGGCGAAGGCGGCUACCUGGCCUAAUACUGACACUGAGGCACGAAAGCGUGGGGAGCAAACAGG